This 253-nucleotide ribosomal RNA is filed under the name uncultured bacterium. RNAcentral's name for it is "partial 16S ribosomal RNA". It matches the Rfam family "Bacterial small subunit ribosomal RNA", at positions 524 to 776 of the family's 1533-position model. The record is from RNAcentral.
GACGAACCGAGCGAACGUUGUUCGGAAUCACUGGGCUUAAAGGGCGCGUAGGCGGGUGGGAAAGUCUGCGGUGAAAUCCUCCAGCUUAACUGGAGAAGUGCCGUGGAUACUGCUCAUCUUGAGGUAGGUAGGGGCAUCUGGAACACUGGGUGGAGCGGUGAAAUGCGUUGAUAUCCAGUGGAACUCCGGUGGCGAAGGCGAGGUGCUGGACCCUUUCUGACGCUGAGGCGCGAAAGCCAGGGGAGCAAACAGG